Molecule: long non-coding RNA, 627 nt
Filed under: Ornithorhynchus anatinus (platypus)
Lineage: Eukaryota; Metazoa; Chordata; Mammalia; Monotremata; Ornithorhynchidae
Description: lncRNA (ENSOANG00000050240.1)
Source: RNAcentral
CUCACUUGCCAAACAGACUUGUUUAUUAGACGGUCUCACUUCGAUCCCCCCUUCUCUUUACGGUUAGGAGACCGAGUACAGUGCUCUAGACACAGUGAGGGCUCAAUAAACACCACGGAUUGAUUGAGGGAGUUUUAAAGGCAAGGAACAGGGAUUAAAGGGAUAUUCUUUUAGGAGCCUGGAGGAAAUUCACGCGGUUCUCGUUCUCUCCUGCCAGCCGUCCAUUUCGGAAGGAUUUUUCUCCCCAGAAUGGCCAGCCACUUCUCAAGCAUCGUUCUUGCCGUCCCCGCCACAUUUUGUAGGAGCAGGAAUUGGGCACUUGUUGAGCAAGUGAACGUUGGAUCCAGACAGUGAGAAUCCAGACUUUCCCUGGCCGUGCUCAUGGGUCACCCCAGUAUAUACCUUCUGCUCCUGACAGCCUGUCACCUGUGGAUACACUCCAUCUUUCUGCUUCCAGGGAGUUGAAACAAUGCCAUGGGCUGGAUAAGUGCAGCUUACUCAGUAUUGUUCCCCGUUCGGCUACUGCACCAGCUGACGGAAACGGCUUGCUGUUGUCUGGAAUGAAGAAGGAGGAUUGGAAGUAUCGAGCCUGUUUCUUUCCAUAAGAAUCACAGAUCAUCUGGUCAG